Molecule: long non-coding RNA, 319 nt
Filed under: Mytilus galloprovincialis (Mediterranean mussel)
Lineage: Eukaryota; Metazoa; Mollusca; Bivalvia; Mytilida; Mytilidae
Source: RNAcentral
CAUUUAACUAAGUUUCAGUUAGACGUGCUUUGUUUGGAUUAAAUGGCGUCUUCUGUGAAAAGUAGAAAUACUCAGUUGCAAUCUACUAUAAAUUGAUGUUAUCUUUUUAGAAAUAUGGACAAUUUCCCCACACAUUGUGACUCUAGAUUGUGUGAAAAAACUUGCAGAAGCCUUAGAAAAGAAUCAGUGUUUUGAUACAGGACAUUCAAAAGGUGGAACUAGACUCGAUAUUUUUGAAGACAUUAAGAAAAAAAAAUGACGAUGAAUAAAGAAUCCAGAGCUACUUUGAUAACAUGGCUUGUAAAUUUUGCCGGAAGUU